Molecule: long non-coding RNA, 554 nt
Filed under: Taeniopygia guttata (zebra finch)
Lineage: Eukaryota; Metazoa; Chordata; Aves; Passeriformes; Estrildidae
Description: lncRNA (ENSTGUG00000021302.1)
Source: RNAcentral
UACUAGUGCAUAGCUAAGUCAUGAGGUCAUAGCCAGAAGUUUGUUUCUCAAGGAAAGGCAGGAGUGUAACCAUUUUGAGGUGAUUAUUUCUUCCAGAAGGCAAUAGAUGAUUCAGAAUUUCCCUUGAGACAGGACUUUCUGCAUACAAAAGACCCUCUAUUUGAACAUCCACAGAUGAGAAUCAUUGGCAAUCUCAGGAAUCAGAAACCUCGGAGAAGAACACUGAAGAGAAACUACCCCUGAAGCAAAAAACCAGCACUUUCCUCUGAAAGUCAAGACACAAAGCAAACUUGAAGUACACCCUGUCUCAGAGAAGAUUUGACAAAACAUGACUCCAAACUGCUCAGCAGCUCAAAACAACAGGACCGUUUGGUACUGUGGGUGGGAAGGCUGAAGGAGGUCUCAUUAUCCUUGCACUCUUCUGUCAAGUAGACGCCACCUUGCACCUUCACCCUUGUUGAUAAAAAAUAAGGGAGUGUUAUGCCCCAUUUUUUUUCCCAAACAUACCGCGUCAGCUCCUGGCCCGGAGCAUUUUGCACGUGGUCCUCCCAGCC